GAUGAACGCUGGCGGCGUGCCUAAUACAUGCAAGUCGAACGAACGGACGAUAAGCUUGCUUUUCUGAUGUUAGCCGAGGGGGGGUGAAUCACGCGUGGAUCACCUCCCUAUAAGACUGGGAUCACUUCGAGACACCGGAGCUAAUACCGGAUAAUAUUUUGAACCGCGUGGGGCGAUGGUGAAAGACGGUCUUGCUGUAUCUUCUCGCUGCAUACGGGCUGCAUGAGGUGGUUGGUAAGUUAACGGCUUACCAAGGCAACGAUGCCUAGCCGAGCUGACAGGGUGAUAGGCGACAUUGGAAGUGAGACACGGACAAGAGUCCUACGGUAGGCAGCAGUAGGGAAUCUUCGGCAAUGGGCGAAAGCCUGACGGAGCAACGCCGCGUGAGUGAUGAAGGUCUUCGGAGCGUAAAAACCUGUUAUGAGGGAAGAACAGAUGUGGAAGGAAAUGUGCAGAGCGUGACGGUACUUAAUCAGAAAGCCACGGCUAACUACGUG
Molecule: ribosomal RNA, 497 nt
Filed under: uncultured bacterium
Lineage: Bacteria
Description: partial 16S ribosomal RNA
Rfam family: Bacterial small subunit ribosomal RNA
Source: RNAcentral